This 67-nucleotide transfer RNA is filed under the name Marmota monax (woodchuck). RNAcentral describes it as "tRNA.Ala". Lineage: Eukaryota; Metazoa; Chordata; Mammalia; Rodentia; Sciuridae. The record is from RNAcentral.
GUUGGAGCUCAGUGGUAGAGCACUUGCCUAGCACAUGGAGGUACCGGGUUCAAUCCUCGGCACCACA